RNAcentral lists this long non-coding RNA (759 nucleotides) under Oryza sativa Indica Group (long-grained rice). Its description in RNAcentral is "lncRNA OsPr106_09g0006800". Lineage: Eukaryota; Viridiplantae; Streptophyta; Magnoliopsida; Poales; Poaceae. The record is from RNAcentral.
AUGUCCAUGGUUACAUCUUUCAACCUCCUGAUGAGCCAGACGGCGCCUCCGGUACUGAAAGCUCCCUUUGGUGCAGCCCUGCGAUCCGCAGGCAAGCCAGCAGCGGCAUUGGCCCUCCAAAGGAAGUCUCCGCGUCUUUUGGUGCGUGCUAAUAAUUCUCCGAAAAGCCCUGCUGAUACUGGGCAUCCCUUUGGCAUCGCACCCUUUGCCCUGGUGCACCCCAAGUUCCCACCGACGUCAGGCAACAAGUGGAGGAUCACGGAGGACGACGACUACGUGAAGCUGUGGUUCCACGUCGGGGAGAAGAUAGACAGGAAGAAGCUCAAGGUUCGGAUCGAGCACGACACGGUGCUCCUCGUCAGCUACGGCGGCGCCGGCGACGAGACGUCGACGACGGAGAACUCCCUCGACGUGCGCCUGCUGCUGCCGAACAAGCCGUACGACACGGCCAAGGUCGAGGCCGAGCUCACCUUCGGGACGCUGCUGGUGACCGUCGCCAAGCGCAAGCCCCAGGGGCGUGACAAGGUCGAAAUCCCGAUCACUCCGGCUCCAAGCAAUGAGAAAACCACUACCGCCACCGGACAAACCGGUAGCGAGACCUAGCUAUAUAUCUAAUCUUAAAAGUGGCAAAUAGUUAAAUAUCGCUCAGCGGAGAGCUUAGUCACGAGAUAGAUCCAUGUGCCGUCGAUCAAUCUUGCUCCGAGAAAUAAAAAUGGGUCAAUAAUCUUGUUCUAUUUGGUAUAUGGUAUGGCUCGCUGA